GGCUCAGGAUGAACGCUAGCGACAGGCCUAACACAUGCAAGUCGAGGGGCAGCACAAGGAGCAAUCUGAGGUGGCGACCGGCGCACGGGUGAGUAACACGUAUGCAACCUGCCUGUAAGCGGGGAAUAACCCGUUGAAAGACGGACUAAUACCGCAUAAUACUAAAUUACUGCAUGGUAAUUUAUUUAAACAUUUAUGGCUUACAGAUGGGCAUGCGCAUGAUUAGCUAGUUGGAGAGGUAACGGCUCCCCAAGGCAACGAUCAUUAGGGGUUCUGAGAGGAAGGUCCCCCCACACUGGUACUGAGACACGGACCAGACUCCUACGGGAGGCAGCAGUGAGGAAUAUUGGUCAAUGGACGAGAGUCUGAACCAGCCAAGUCGCGUGCAGGAAGAAUUGUCCUAUGGAUUGUAAACUGCUUUUGCAGGGGAAUAAAGUGCAUCACGUGUGAUGUUUUGUAUGUACUCUGCGAAUAAGGAUCGGCUAACUCCGUGCCAGCCGCCGC
This 504-nucleotide ribosomal RNA is filed under the name uncultured bacterium. RNAcentral's name for it is "bacterial SSU rRNA". It matches the Rfam family "Bacterial small subunit ribosomal RNA", at positions 21 to 518 of the family's 1533-position model. The record is from RNAcentral.